CCUACGGGAGGCUGCAGUAGGGAAUAUUGCUCAAUGGGGGAAACCCUGAAGCAGCAACGCCGCGUGGAGGAUGAAGGUUUUCGGAUCGUAAACUUCUUUCGUCAGAGAAGAAAAUGACGGUAACUAACGAAUAAGCAACGGAUAACACCGUGCCAGCAGCCGCGGUAAUACGGAGGGUGCACGCGUUAGGCGGAAUCACUGGGGGUAAAGAGCGCGUAGGCGGGUUUGCAAGUCAGAUGUGAAAUCCUAGGGCUUAACCAUAGUACUGCAUUUGAUACUGUUAUUCUAGAGUAUGAGAGAGGUAUGUAGAAUUCUUGGUGUAGGGGUAAAAUCCGUAGAGAUCAGGAGGAAUACUCAUAGCGAAGGCGACCUUCUGGAACAAAACUGACGCUGAGGUGCGAAAGCGUGGGUAGCAAACAGGAUUAGAUACCCCAGUAGUC
RNAcentral lists this ribosomal RNA (440 nucleotides) under uncultured bacterium. RNAcentral describes it as "partial 16S ribosomal RNA". It matches the Rfam family "Bacterial small subunit ribosomal RNA", at positions 338 to 795 of the family's 1533-position model. The record is from RNAcentral.